AAUUUAUUCAUUUACUUAUAAUAAUAGUAAUGGUUGUAUCUUUUAGUAAUCUACUAAUCUUGUUUGGGUGGCAGAAUAUUGUAAAUUUAAUCGUUUGUAAAGCAGUGAGGUAAUAGUCGAGUACUUAUGGAUGAGCGAGCCACUUAUUGGUAAGUGAAAAUGGGCUUCAAAUGAAAUAGAUGAAUUUAGUCAUUUACAUAUAAUAAUAGUAAUGGUUGUAUCUUUUAGUAAUCUACUAAUCUUGUUUGGAUGACAGAAUAUUGUAAAUUUAAUUGUUUGUAGAGCAGUGAGGUAACAGUCAGAGUACUUAUCGAUGAGCGAGCCACUUAUUGGUAACUACCUUAUAACAUUGAGUUUAUAGCUUUGUUAUAUUUUCAUGUAUAAUUUUAU
RNAcentral lists this long non-coding RNA (390 nucleotides) under Brassica napus (rape). RNAcentral describes it as "long non-coding RNA (BNAP_LNC016505)". Lineage: Eukaryota; Viridiplantae; Streptophyta; Magnoliopsida; Brassicales; Brassicaceae. The record is from RNAcentral.